UUUAUCAAAAACAUGUCUUAUUGAUUAUUAUAAAUAAUAAGUUUAUUCUGCCCGUUGAAUUUGUUUUUUGAAAGGCUGCAGUAAUUUAACUGUACAAAGGUAGCAUAAUCAAUAGUUUUUUAAUUGAAAACUUGUAUGAAAGAAUUGAUAAAAUAUUAAUUGUCUCAAAUUUAAAUAAUUGAAAUUAAAUUAAAAGUUAAAAUUCUUUUAUAUAUUUAUUAGACGAUAAGACCCUAAGAAUUUUAUAAUUGUUUUAUUUUAUUAAUGAAAUUAAUUUAAUUGAAAACUUAUAAUUUAAUUAUUUUAUUGGGAGGGUAAUUAAAAAUUUAAACUUUAAUUUUAUUUAAACUUUGAUAAAUGAAUUUAAUGAUUAUUUUUAUAGUUGUGAGAAUUAAUUACCUUAGGGAUAACAGCGUAAUAAUUUUGGAAAGUUCAUAUUGAUAAAAUUGUUUGCGACCUCGAUGUUGAAUUAAAAUAAAAAUUAAAUGGAGAAAUUUAAGUUUUUAGUCUGUUCGACUAU
RNAcentral lists this ribosomal RNA (520 nucleotides) under Mischocyttarus mexicanus. RNAcentral's name for it is "partial 16S ribosomal RNA". Lineage: Eukaryota; Metazoa; Arthropoda; Insecta; Hymenoptera; Vespidae. The record is from RNAcentral.